UACGUAGGUGGCAAGCGUUGUCCGGAAUUAUUGGGCGUAAAGCGCGCGCAGGCGGUCCUUUAAGUCUGAUGUGAAAGCCCACGGCUCAACCGUGGAGGGUCAUUGGAAACUGGGGGACUUGAGUGCAGGAGAGAAGAGUGGAAUUCCACGUGUAGCGGUGAAAUGCGUAGAUAUGUGGCGGAACACCGAUGGCGAAGGCAGCCCCCUGGGCUGAGAUUGACGCUCAGGCACGAAAGCGUGGGGAGCAAACAGG
RNAcentral lists this ribosomal RNA (253 nucleotides) under uncultured bacterium. RNAcentral describes it as "partial 16S ribosomal RNA". It matches the Rfam family "Bacterial small subunit ribosomal RNA", at positions 524 to 776 of the family's 1533-position model. The record is from RNAcentral.